UGGGGAAUAUUGCGCAAUGGGGGAAACCCUGACGCAGCAACGCCGCGUGGAGGAAGAAGGUCUUCGGAUUGUAAACUCCUGUCUUCUGGGACGAAUAAUGACGGUACCAGAGGAGGAAGCCACGGCUAACUACGUGCCAGCAGCCGCGGUAAUACGUAGGUGGCAAGCGUUGUCCGGAAUUAUUGGGCGUAAAGGGCGCGUAGGCGGCAACCUAAGUCAGAUGUGAAACCCCGGGGCUUAACUCCGGACGUGCAUUUGAAACUGGGUAGCUAGAGUGCAGGAGAGGAAAGCGGAAUUCCUAGUGUAGCGGUGAAAUGCGUAGAUAUUAGGAGGAACACCAGUGGCGAAGGCGGCUUUCUGGACUGUAACUGACGCUGAGGCGCGAAAGCGUGGGGAGCAAACAGG
RNAcentral lists this ribosomal RNA (405 nucleotides) under uncultured prokaryote. RNAcentral's name for it is "bacterial SSU rRNA". It matches the Rfam family "Bacterial small subunit ribosomal RNA", at positions 355 to 776 of the family's 1533-position model. The record is from RNAcentral. RNAcentral also lists the same sequence under 1 other name.